UCCAAUGAGGAUUUGAUCCUGGUCCAGGACGAACGCUGGCGGCGUGGAUAAGGCAUGCAAGUCGUGCGGAUCGUUCUUUGAAGGCGCUGCGAUUACAUCAAGGCGCCGGAUGAGAAUGGUUAGCGGCGAACGAGUUAGUAACACCUUGGAACGUACCCCGGAGACGGGCAUAACUAGCCGAAAGGUUAGCUAAUACCCGAUAGCCUCGUGAGAGUAAAUCCCGCAAGGGGCUCCGGGAGCGGCCUAGGUCCUAUCAGCUAGUUGGCGGGGUAACGGCCCACCAAGGCUAUGACGGGUAGGGGGCGUGAGAGCGCGACCCCCAACGGCGACACUGCGAUACGGGUCGCACACCUACGGGUGGCUGCAGUCAAGAACAUUCGACAAUGGGCGCAAGCCUGAUCGAGCGACGCCGCGUGCAGGAAGAAGGCCUUCGGGUUGUAAACUGCUUUUCACUGGGACGAACGCAAGUGACGGUACCAGUGGAAUAAGACGCUGCAAACUCUGUGCCAGCAGCCGCGGUAAUACAGAGGCGUCAAGCGUUGUCCGGAAUUAUUGGGCGUAAAGGGUCUCCAGGUGGUUUUGUUAGUCGGGCGUUAAAUCCCGCUGCCCAACGGCGGGGCCGCGCCCGAAACGGCAAAACUCGAGGUAGGGAGAGGCACACGGAACGGUGGGUGUAGGGGUGAAAUCCGUUGAUAUCCACCGGAACACCAGAGGCGAAGGCGGUGUGCUGGCCCUAUCCUGACACUCAUGGGACGAAAGCGUGGGGCGCGAAUGGGAUUGACGCUCGCACUCCGGCAAAUUUUUCUUGGCGAUUUUUUGUGACGAAACUUCCUUGUCCGCUUCGCAAUGCGAAUAAGGAAAAUCUGAACUCGACCGCGCCGGUGGCGCGGGACUCACACAGCAGAUUUUCCUUGCUUUGCUCGCCGACUCGUUGUUUCGAUGGCAAAAUCGCAUUGAAAAAUUUGUCGGAGUGCUCGCUUGGCAUGUUCUGAAGGAAGUUUCCUUCGGAAACAUUUUAAGCGGACGGUAGGGGUACCGUGAGUUUACCCGCCCGUAGCUCGAAAGAGCGAAGGCGGGCAAUGGUCCCCCCGACACACGAAGUGUGUGUAGGGGAAAACUUGGCUAUAUGCUGGAAUAUCCGAGUAUCCGCAACUACCGCGAUUAGCGCGGUGAAAAUGUGUGCGGUGCGGACAACCAGCAGGGAAGAACUAGGAGGAGGAAAUGAAAUAUCGUCUGUGUUACACGGAGAGCAGAUACAGAGGGGUCUAUGGAAGUUCUGAUCCGUGGGAAAGGACGUAUCACGAUCAUACAUUCGAGGCGGAAAGCUCGGCAGAAGCCGACAGCUAUGCGCGAGAAUUUCUCGCCAAACUCGGCGCUGGGCCAACCACGCAGAAGUUUGAACGUGUUUCGCUUGUACAGAUUGUGCAAGAAGAGAUUUCAGUUCCUGUAUCGCAGUUCCCCUCAGAGACUGCACGCCGAGCCCAGCUCCUUGAGUCGUGGAUGUCGGGCGUUUGCCUGAUGUCCGUUUCUCAAGGCGCUGGGAUGAUACAGUCCGACCUCCAUAGCGAUAUGGAGAGCGCGGCAGAAAUGACCGCGCCCUGGAACAAUUCGUGAGGUCGUCGAGGUUAGAACUUUUGACCUUUAACCUUUGACUUUUGAUCUCACGUUUGUUGCAGAGCAACAAACGUGUAGAUACCCCAGUAGUCCACGCCCUAAACGAUGCAGAUUCGCCGUGGGAAGUAUCGACCCUUUCCGUGGCUUAGCUUACGCGUUAAAUCUGCCGCCUGGGAAGUACGGCCGCAAGGCUAAAACUCAAAGGAAUAGACGG
Molecule: ribosomal RNA, 1828 nt
Filed under: bacterium
Lineage: Bacteria
Description: bacterial SSU rRNA
Rfam family: Bacterial small subunit ribosomal RNA
Source: RNAcentral